Pelobates cultripes (western spadefoot toad) is the source of this 584-nucleotide non-coding RNA. The record is from the annotation of a GenBank genome assembly. NCBI's taxonomy places the organism in Eukaryota, Metazoa, Chordata, Amphibia, Anura, Pelobatidae.
CUACAAUGUUUAGAUAUUAUUUGUUCCAUUAGAAGCCAAAAGAUAAAUUUAUUUCCUUAACUAGUAUUUGCCCUCUCAGAUUAUUAUUUUGUCCUGUUGUAGAUUGCAGCAAGUCUAGAAAUGUAUUACACAACUUUUCUUUUCUUUAUAAAUAAUAAAGCUGACUGUCACUUCCUAUAAUCUUGGCAAAAAGGCUCAUACAUCCCAAUUGUCCCAGUUGAGCAGAACAGUCACUCUCCGUUUUUUUUCUACCUAAAAGAUAAAAUAAAAUCCCAAUUCUCAAUAAGGGCAAAAGCAGUUUUUUGUUUCUUCCGGGUCCCUAAAAAGGUCCUGUGUAGGACCAGUUUGUUGCUUUUGUUUUUUUUUUGUAUAUUUGAAUACCUUGCAUCAAUGAAAUAAAAGCAUUUUUAUUUUUGUAAAUUCCACCCUGAGUCCAGGAAAGCAUAUUUGGUGAGGAGUACACAGCCAGGAGCUGAUCAUCAGAUUGGAUAGCCCCCAAGAUAUCCAAGGGGAGACAUAGUUAUGAUCAAUCACCAUCUUGUGAGUGCAUCCCAAUUUGUGCAAUAUUGUACUAUACUAGACAC